RNAcentral lists this ribosomal RNA (468 nucleotides) under uncultured bacterium. RNAcentral describes it as "partial 16S ribosomal RNA". It matches the Rfam family "Bacterial small subunit ribosomal RNA", at positions 28 to 507 of the family's 1533-position model. The record is from RNAcentral.
GACGAACGCUGGCGGCGUGCUUAACACAUGCAAGUCGAACGGAAAGGCCCUGCUUUUGUGGGGUGCUCGAGUGGCGAACGGGUGAGUAACACGUGAGUAACCUGCCCUUGACUUUGGGAUAACUUCAGGAAACUGGGGCUAAUACCGGAUAGGAGCUCCUGCUGCAUGGUGGGGGUUGGAAAGUUUCGGCGGUUGGGGAUGGACUCGCGGCUUAUCAGCUUGUUGGUGGGGUAGUGGCUUACCAAGGCUUUGACGGGUAGCCGGCCUGAGAGGGUGACCGGCCACAUUGGGACUGAGAUACGGCCCAGACUCCUACGGGAGGCAGCAGUGGGAAAUAUUGCACAAUGGGCGGAAGCCGGAUGCAGCAACGCCGCGUGCGGGAUGACGGCCGUCGGGUUGUAAACCGCUUUCGCCUGUGACGAAGCGUGAGUGACGGUAAUGGGUAAAGAAGCACCGGCUAACUACGUG